ACCAGCAGCCAUAUCACUCUGCAACUCACAACUGGCAACCCACUGAAGCUAAGAUGGUGUGAGCCUGGUCAGUACCUGGAUGGGAGACCUCCUGGGAAAAACUAAGGUUGCUGCUGGAA
Ribosomal RNA from Lepisosteus oculatus (spotted gar), 119 nucleotides. Lineage: Eukaryota; Metazoa; Chordata; Actinopteri; Semionotiformes; Lepisosteidae. The record is from Ensembl.